GUUUGUUGCUAUUUGGUACUUUAAGUCCUUUGGUGUUAUUGAUAACUUGACGUUCGAUAAUAUUGUCAGUUUCACAGUUUGAAUAAGUUUUGGCUUUUAUUGUUCGUUUAGGUCUUGCUGGUAUGACAAAAUUGUCGGCUGGUAGAGCCGGCACCAGACCCUCAACCACCUUGUAAAUCAGGAUAAGACGGAGGCUGUGUCUUCUUUCCUCU
This 212-nucleotide long non-coding RNA is filed under the name Mytilus galloprovincialis (Mediterranean mussel). Lineage: Eukaryota; Metazoa; Mollusca; Bivalvia; Mytilida; Mytilidae. The record is from RNAcentral.